This 387-nucleotide ribosomal RNA is filed under the name uncultured Hydrogenophaga sp. Its description in RNAcentral is "bacterial SSU rRNA". It matches the Rfam family "Bacterial small subunit ribosomal RNA", at positions 992 to 1382 of the family's 1533-position model. Lineage: Bacteria; Pseudomonadati; Pseudomonadota; Betaproteobacteria; Burkholderiales; Comamonadaceae. The record is from RNAcentral.
GGAAGCUCGAAGAGAUUUGAGUGUGCUCGCAAGAGAGCCGUAACACAGGUGCUGCAUGGCUGUCGUCAGCUCGUGUCGUGAGAUGUUGGGUUAAGUCCCGCAACGAGCGCAACCCUUGUCAUUAGUUGCUACGAAAGGGCACUCUAAUGAGACUGCCGGUGACAAACCGGAGGAAGGUGGGGAUGACGUCAAGUCCUCAUGGCCCUUAUAGGUGGGGCUACACACGUCAUACAAUGGCUGGUACAAAGGGUUGCCAACCCGCGAGGGGGGAGCCAAUCCCAUAAAGCCAGUCGUAGUCCGGAUCGUAGUCUGCAACUCGACUGCGUGAAGUCGGAAUCGCUAGUAAUCGUGGAUCAGCAUGUCACGGUGAAUACGUUCCCGGGUCUU